Molecule: ribosomal RNA, 253 nt
Filed under: uncultured bacterium
Lineage: Bacteria
Also listed under: 2 other names
Description: partial 16S ribosomal RNA
Rfam family: Bacterial small subunit ribosomal RNA
Source: RNAcentral
UACAGAGGUCUCAAGCGUUGUUCGGAUUCAUUGGGCGUAAAGGGUGCGUAGGCGGCGCGGUAAGUCGGGUGUGAAAUCUCGGAGCUUAACUCCGAAACUGCAUUCGAUACUGCCGUGCUUGAGGACUGGAGAGGAGACUGGAAUUUACGGUGUAGCGGUGAAAUGCGUAGAUAUCGUAAGGAAGACCAGUGGCGAAGGCGGGUCUCUGGACAGUUCCUGACGCUGAGGCACGAAGGCCAGGGGAGCAAACGGG